This is a non-coding RNA of 219 nucleotides. It matches the Rfam family "T-box leader". Rfam says of the family: Uncharged tRNA acts as the effector for transcription antitermination of genes in the T-box leader family. T-boxes are found upstream of many aminoacyl-tRNA synthetase genes and some amino acid biosynthetic genes usually in Gram-positive bacteria.
UUAAAAGCUAUGAUGAGGACGAGUAAGUAGAAGCGACUUCCAGAGAGUUGGCGGUAGGUGCGAGCCAAUAAGUUCGUUUCUACUGAAAAUCACCUCGGAGCUGCAGGCUGAACUACAGUAAGCUGUGCCGGGCUUCCCGUUAUCUUAAAUGAGAGAUUAAGGCAAAGUUUUUCUUUGUCUUAAUAAGUAGGGUGGUACCGCGAACUUCUCGUCCCUGAC